RNAcentral lists this small nuclear RNA (100 nucleotides) under Mesocricetus auratus (golden hamster). Lineage: Eukaryota; Metazoa; Chordata; Mammalia; Rodentia; Cricetidae. The record is from RNAcentral.
GUACUUGCUUCAGUAGCACAGAUACUAAAAUUGAGUACAGAGAAGAUCAGAAUGGCCCUGUGAAAGGAGGACAUGUAACACUGCAAUGUGCCGUGUUUAA